CAGCCGUAAACGAUGCGCGUUAGGUGUAUCGGUGACCACGAGUCACCGAGGUGCCGAAGGGAAACCGUGAAACGUGCCGCCUGGGAAGUACGGUCGCAAGGCUGAAACUUAAAGGAAUUGGCGGGGGGAGCACCACAACGGGUGGAGCCUGCGGUUUAAUUGGAUUCAACGCCGGAAAUCUUACCGGGACCGACAGCAACAUGAAGGCCAAGCUGAAGACUUUGCCGGAUUAGCUGAGAGGAGGUGCAUGGCGUAGUCGUGU
This 262-nucleotide ribosomal RNA is filed under the name uncultured archaeon. RNAcentral's name for it is "partial 16S ribosomal RNA". It matches the Rfam family "Archaeal small subunit ribosomal RNA", at positions 748 to 1009 of the family's 1478-position model. The record is from RNAcentral.